CGGGUGAGUAAUGCCUAGGAAUCUGCCUGGUAGUGGGGGACGAACGUUUCGAAAGGAACGCUAAUACCGCAUACGUCCUACGGGAGAAAGCAGGGACCUUCGGGCCUUGCGCNUAUCAGAUGAGCCUAGGUCGGAUUAGCUAGUUGGUGAGGUAAUGGCUCACCAAGGCGACGAUCCGUAACUGGUCUGAGAGGAUGAUCAGUCACACUGGAACUGAGACACGGUCCAGACUCCUACGGGAGGCAGCAGGG
This 251-nucleotide ribosomal RNA is filed under the name uncultured Pseudomonas sp. RNAcentral's name for it is "partial 16S ribosomal RNA". It matches the Rfam family "Bacterial small subunit ribosomal RNA", at positions 103 to 354 of the family's 1533-position model. Lineage: Bacteria; Pseudomonadati; Pseudomonadota; Gammaproteobacteria; Pseudomonadales; Pseudomonadaceae. The record is from RNAcentral.